Molecule: transfer RNA, 63 nt
Filed under: Breviceps adspersus (bushveld rain frog)
Lineage: Eukaryota; Metazoa; Chordata; Amphibia; Anura; Brevicipitidae
Description: tRNA-Phe
Source: RNAcentral
CAUAUAUAGCCCACCUCAAAAGCACAACGCCGAAAACACCAAAAUAGACCAUAAAGUCUUAUA